Molecule: ribosomal RNA, 405 nt
Filed under: uncultured bacterium
Lineage: Bacteria
Description: partial 16S ribosomal RNA
Rfam family: Bacterial small subunit ribosomal RNA
Source: RNAcentral
GACGAACGCUGGCGGCGUGCUUAACACAUGCAAGUCGAGCGGAGCGGCGAACGGGUGAGUAACGCGUGAGUAACUGCCCCCCUCUCUGGGAUAACAGUUGGAAACGGCUGCUAAUACCGGAUAGUGGGGGAUGACUCGCGUCCUAGCAGCUUGUUGGUGGGGUAGAAGCCUACCAAGGCGACGACGGGUAGCCGGCCUGAGAUGGCGACCGGCCACAUUGGGCUGAGAUACGGCCCAAACUCCUACGGGAGGCAUCAGUGGGGAAUAUUGCUCAAUGGGGAAAACCCUGAUGCAGCACCGCCGCGUGCGGGAUAACGGCCUUAGGGUUGUAAACCGCUUUCAGCCAUGACGCGGUAGUGGCAGAAGAAGAACCUGCUAACUACGUGCCAGCAGCCGCGGUAAUUC